AUUGAACGCUGGCGGCAGGCCUAACACAUGCAAGUCGAGCGAGCGGCGGACGGGUGAGGAAUGUAGGGGAAACUGCCUGAUGGAGGGGGAUAACUACUGGAAACGGUAGCGAAUACCGCAUACCAUCGGAUGUGCCCAGAUGGGAGUAGCUUGUUGGUGGGGGAACGGCUCACCAAGGCGACGAUCCCUAGCUGGUCUGAGAGGAUGGCCAGCCACACUGGAACUGAGACACGGUCCAGACUCCUACGGGAGGCAGCAGUGGGGAAUAUUGCACAAUGGGCGAAAGCCUGAUGCAGCCAUGCCGCGUGUAUGAAGAAGGCCUUCGGGUUGUAAAGUACUUUCAGCGGGGAGGCGUUACCCGCAGAAGAAGCACCGGCUAACUCCGUGCCAGCAGCCGCGGUAAUUC
This 406-nucleotide ribosomal RNA is filed under the name uncultured bacterium. RNAcentral's name for it is "partial 16S ribosomal RNA". It matches the Rfam family "Bacterial small subunit ribosomal RNA", at positions 29 to 526 of the family's 1533-position model. The record is from RNAcentral.